RNAcentral lists this long non-coding RNA (666 nucleotides) under Jatropha curcas. RNAcentral describes it as "long non-coding RNA (JCUR_LNC003201)". Lineage: Eukaryota; Viridiplantae; Streptophyta; Magnoliopsida; Malpighiales; Euphorbiaceae. The record is from RNAcentral.
AUAAGUAAAAUAAUUAAUAAGAAUAAGUAAAAUAAUUAAUAAGAAUAAGUAAUAAAAACUGUGUUGUAUAACUUCACUCAAAAAAACUUUAUAAAAUUUUUCUAUUUUGAUACUUUCUUUUAGUUUAUUUAUUUAGUAUUUAUUUAUUUGUAUAUUUUGUAUAUUUGUAUCGAAUUUUUAUCGUUUUUUCAAUAAUACCUUUUACUUUUUCCUUUUACUUUAAAUUUUAUUUAAAUUUAACUUAUUAGAUUUAUUAGUUGAUUCAUUCACAUAAUAUCUCGAAUAAGAAGAAAAAAAAAGUAUCGCACGAUCAGAUCACUUGAAAAAAUCAAAGUGGUUAAGUGUCAAGAAAGACCCUUUGAAUCUAAUAUACGAAUACGUGCAUCACGAAUCACGAAUAUUGAUUAUUAGAUAUUAGAAUUCUUUUUUCGUUGUUCUCCUUCUUUCAUCGAAUAUUCUUUACUACUGGUACUUGUUAAUGGAUGACUAACCCAUUUUUAAAAUGAAAAAAGGGGGAUUCCAACAAAAAACUCUUCUUCUACAAGCUCCAAAUUUUUAGAUUUCACAUCUAAGAAUUGCGGAAAUAUAAUAUGAGAAUCCUCUUUAUAAUAUGAUAAUCUCCCUCAUGAAUUAUUAUUGAAACUCGUCGAAUUCGCAUUUUACCCG